Molecule: small nucleolar RNA, 108 nt
Organism: Callorhinchus milii (elephant shark)
Lineage: Eukaryota; Metazoa; Chordata; Chondrichthyes; Chimaeriformes; Callorhinchidae
Source: Ensembl
UGUGAGAGUGAUGAGUUGCACUCUGAAUGGGACAGUAAUGCAGUGACAUGGCUGUUUCAUUCUGAACCCUGAUGACUAAACAUGUGCACAGGGGCCAUCUGACUCGCA